RNAcentral lists this unclassified non-coding RNA (3609 nucleotides) under Hevea brasiliensis (rubber tree). The record is from RNAcentral. Lineage: Eukaryota; Viridiplantae; Streptophyta; Magnoliopsida; Malpighiales; Euphorbiaceae.
GCCGAAGAAUAAGGGAAAGGGAGGCAAGAAUCGCAAGAGAGGAAACAACGAGGCCGACGAUGAGAAGUGAGAGCUCAUAUUCAAAGGAGACGGUCAAGAAUAUGCUUAGUUCCUCCGCAUGCUGGGCAACAGCCGCUGCGAAGCUCCAAACGCCUCUGCCACAUCCUAGGGAAGAUGCACAUGAAAGUUUGGAUCGCCGCCGGUGAUAUAAUCCUCGUCAUCCUUGGGAUUAGCAGGAUGAUAAAGCUGAUGUCAUCCUCAAGUACAUGCUAGAUGAGGCUUGGCUCUUGAAGGCUUAUAAUGAGUUGCCUGAUAACAUUGGGGUGAACGACGGGUUGCCGGUGGGAUCGAUGAUGAGGAUGAAGGUGCUGCGGGCGGUUACAUCGAGUUCGAGGACGAGGACAUCAAUAAGAUCCGAAGUCCUGUAUCGUGUAUGUAUCUAUCGAGAGUUUUCCACUUUUAAUACUCCAUUUAGAUUCUGCAUGGUUUUAAUUAUCACUAUAAUAUUAGUAUAAUUAUGGAUGUUGAAUGUGAUGCAAUGAUAGUCAGCUAGAUGUUCAUGAUCGUUCUUCAUAAUUGCUUCGUUUUACUUUAUUUUAAUUACAUCCUCUGACAUUGGUAUUAGUAAAUUAAGGUCGCUAUUUACUAAUGCUGAAUUUGAUAGGUACCGACUCCGCAUUCUGGUCCUGUUAUUGUUCUUUGUCAAGUGGAGGUAGUGCGAGUAAAAAGAGGCAACACUUGUAUGAAAAAUUAGGCAACCACACUCUACUUUUUAAUUGCCUGUGGUUUCUUAAUAUGCAUUCGGGCAACUCUAAUAUGGUCUAGAAUCGAGAUGAUAUAAAUUUCAGUGUAACUACAUUUACAUGCUUAUUCUUUGAUUGAGAUACUGCUAAUGGGAAUCAUUCAUCAUUGGUUAUCUUAUGAAAGGAAGCAUGCAAAAGCUGCAUUUAAUUAUGAUCUUAUAUGCAAGAUUGUAAUUGCUGCAUGGAUGUUACUGAUCCUUAUUACAAUAAUGAACUGGGAAAAUACAAGAGCACGAUUAAUACAGGGCUGUAGACUACAUUGCAAGAUACAAAUGUGUCUUAGAGCAAUGAUACAAACUACUGAAUUAAAACAAAGAUCUGGACUGGAAGGAAAGUUUGCCACUCAAUCAAGUGGAUUGUAUUCAGCUCCAGCAAUCUUCUUCUUUAGUGCUUCAAUAUCUGUUGCUAAUUCCUUUCUGCUUGACUGAGGAAGUAAAUAUAUUAUUUGUUAGGUUAAUAUGUCUGAUACACGUCAAAAAGAGAAUUAGGUUGCUCUGCUGUUUUUCAAACUGCUAAAAUCUGGUACAUGUAGAUUAUACUAAUGGCUCAAGCUAUAUUUGUUGCAGUUUCAACUUUCAACAUAAAAGCCAUUUCUAGAAAAUAGAAGCCAAAUAGCAAUUUAAAUUCUAGGAAUGGAAAAUGAGCCUCUCCUACAUGCAGAAUUUAAAGGAGGGAUGGAUACUUUUUGAUCCUAUUGCCUGCUUAAUUUGUUUCUUUUGGUUGAUCUAAGACUUACAACUUGCAUAAGAGAGCAAAUUAGUGCAGAUCAAGUAUGCAUAUUCUGUUACCUUGAAGAGAAGGUAUCUGUAGACAAACCAUCCAGUAUAUCCAAGUCCAACCAACUCCAUGAUCUUGGGCAGCUGGUAGAGGAGAAAGAUGAUAAAAUUAGAGAAUUAAUAAAGCAUGAAUCGCCUUGACAUUUGUUUCAAAAAUUGACCCACCAAAGGUACUGAGUUGAUGGCUCCCACAAGGAUUGAUGACAGCCAAACAGCAACUAUUGCUCCCCCUCCGUAGAGAAUCACCGUGGACUUGUUUUCAACUCCAUCCCACUAGUAACAAUAACCAACACUAAUUAUUUUAGUCCAACCAGGGAAGGAGAGAGAUAGAGAGAGACGCAACUAGCUUUGUUUCUUACCCUUUCCUUCAAGUCUGUGAAAAGCUCACUAGGGUCAACAGUCGUGGAUUCUUCUGAAGAGGCUCUAAUCUGAAGGAGAGACAACCUGCGGGACUCUACUUGAAAAGAAGCAGCGGCCAACUCACAUAUACUUUUAAGUUACUUGUCACUAGUCGUGGUUAGGUACUUAGAAUAGACAGAGAAAAACAGGAUGCUUAACUCACAGAAGAGCGACUCUAAUCUUAGACACACACAAGACACUUGAAAAAUCAUUUCUUAAUAAUUCCAUGCAUUAGAUUCGCUUUGCUUACAGAAAUGUCAAUCAUCAUUGGAAAGAAUAUCGUUGAUCCAACAGUUGAAAUCUCCUUCAUGAAGGAGCAUGUGAAUACUGAAUACAGAAUUAAGUUAGCAUGUGUUUUUCACAACCACGGUACGCACACGCAGGGUUGCCAAUUUGCUAUGAAAUCUAGUGUCCCAUUAACAUGUACGGCAACAAAAUACACGCUGAAGCUGAAUUGGGUUCAUUUGCUAUAACUGAGUCCUAUCAUCCUUCCUUGUAUGCCAAUUACACAUCACAUCACAAAUUUAUAUAGAAUUCCAUACCCAAUCUCCACCCAUAUGUAUAGGGGAGAGGAAGGUUAGUUAGCCGAGUAUACAAUUUUGAUCAGUCAAGAUGUGCAAGUCAUUCCUCAUGCAGCUCAUUGAUGCUUUAAUUUCAAUCUAUGCACUACAUUCCUUAAUUAUCAUCUAAGGUCUCUGGUAACAAUUCCCAAGAUAAUUUCCAGGCCAUUGUGGUAGCUGGCAAUAUCAAAACAACUAUUGCCAACAAAUUCUCCUUUUAUUGCUCUCCUCCGUAAGGUUUGUAAUCAGCACUAAGACAUUUCACAAAACACUAUUCUCUAUUCGUUGAAGCAAGUGGGAUUUGGCUGGUUUGCCUUUACAUUAUCACACACUAGCGGUAUAUAUGUGAAAAGGAGAAAAAGCGAGAGCAAACAGUACCUGAGACUUGUUUGAUGGAAGAGCGGAAGAAGUGCGAUGAUAAGCGAGUUGGGAGGUAAGGCAAGGCCAAGCAGCGAGUGGUUCUGCUGGCGGGCGGAAUGAAGGCGGCGGUGGUGACUGCCAUGGAAGAGGAGUAUGCUGCCGCCACAUAAACCGUCGCUGCCAUUGGGAUAUUGAUGUGUGGCUACCUAAACGCUCUGCUUCUAUCCUUUGUCCUCUCUCGACUUCGAUCGGUGUGUUUUUACUUUUUGAUUUUAUAUUAUAUUUUAAUUUAUUUGAAUUUUUUUAGUGUUUUGUUUAUGUAUCCAGUGAUGAUAUUUUUGUACCGAGUUUCUGACUCUUGAUAUGCGGAUGACACGUGCAGAAGUUUUACAUUUUGAUUGGCUGAUUCCCUAUCUGCAAUCCAGGUUUGAGGUGCGCGCUCUUUCCCUCAUGUAUCCCCUUGGCCUGGCCGAUGUUAGUUCCAAAUGUUACCAAACUUACAUAAACACUGAUCUAUGAAUUUUGUAAAUUUUAAGUAUUUAGUUGUAAUUUAUUCCAACGCUAUAAUUAUCCUACAUUAGUAAGCUGUAGUUUCAAUAAAUUUAUGAUAUAAGUAAAUUGGACUUCCUUAGCAGCUUCCUCGCGAGGACGUAAAAGGUGGCUAUCACCUAAUUUUUUUUUUAUAGAUUUCAUUAAGAAAAAUAAGUCAUU